GGGAGGGGAGAGAGAGAGAGAGAUUUGGGGGGAAAAAUAAUAUGUAAAUACAGGGGUUCUGUAUCGGCAUUAAAAUAAAAGGCAUAUAUAAAAGAUUAAAUAUGCCAAAAUUUGAAGUUCAAUUUUAUUUCAGCUCUGUACUUUAGCAGCAUCUCAACAGAAAAUAAAAUAAAGAUUUAUAGUAUACCCAAGUUAAACACAAUAAGUUAGCAACUUAAGAGAUGAAGUGGACUGGGACAAUCUACAAUAUUAAGUGGAGGUAUAACUUGAAAAACUUCAGUGAAAAUGACCUAAUUACACAAUUUCUAAUGAGGGAGUAGAGCACUUGUCCCCACAGUAAAUCUAGCCCCAACAGCAAGAAAUUUAUGCAAUUAAAACAGCAUUUGCAGAAAACUUUUAAUAUCACAGAUUUACAGCAUAUAAGCUUUUCUAAGCCAGGAAUUGAAAAAACUAGAGUUAUGAAAACCAUACACCCUGGAAUAUCUGAAAAAUUACAAAACUAAUUUUGAGCAAGAGACUCCUCCAUUAAACUUUCACCAUGGAAUUUACCUGAUAGUUUGAUAUAAUCUUCUGCCUGUAUUCUCUAUGUUUUUGAAU
This 597-nucleotide unclassified non-coding RNA is filed under the name Hevea brasiliensis (rubber tree). The record is from RNAcentral. Lineage: Eukaryota; Viridiplantae; Streptophyta; Magnoliopsida; Malpighiales; Euphorbiaceae.